RNAcentral lists this ribosomal RNA (399 nucleotides) under uncultured bacterium. RNAcentral's name for it is "bacterial SSU rRNA". It matches the Rfam family "Bacterial small subunit ribosomal RNA", at positions 30 to 431 of the family's 1533-position model. The record is from RNAcentral.
AUUGAACGCUGGCGGCAUGCCUUACACAUGCAAGUCGAACGGCAGCACGGGAGCAAUCCUGGUGGCGAGUGGCGAGCGGGUGAGUAAUAUAUCGGAACGUGCCCAGUCGUGGGGGAUAACGUAGCGAAAGCUACGCUAAUACCGCAUACGAUCUACGGAUGAAAGCGGGGGAUCGCAAGACCUCGCGCGAUUGGAGCGGCCGAUAUCAGAUUAGGUAGUUGGUGAGGUAAAGGCUCACCAAGCCGACGAUCUGUAGCUGGUCUGAGAGGACGACCAGCCACACUGGGACUGAGACACGGCCCAGACUCCUACGGGAGGCAGCAGUGGGGAAUUUUUGGACAAUGGGCGCAAGCCUGAUCCAGCAAUGCCGCGUGCAGGAUGAAGGCCUCGGUUGUAACU